RNAcentral lists this long non-coding RNA (1265 nucleotides) under Ricinus communis (castor bean). RNAcentral's name for it is "long non-coding RNA (RCOM_LNC002338)". The record is from RNAcentral. Lineage: Eukaryota; Viridiplantae; Streptophyta; Magnoliopsida; Malpighiales; Euphorbiaceae.
CAACUUCAAGAACCAGAUGACAGUGUUUGGAUAACAAUAACCAGCAGCACCACAUUCGAAGAGUGUAACUUGGCUUUCACAGGGAAAAGGAAAAAGGCAGAAGUCCGGUUGAGUUGUGUGAUCCUGUAAUAUACGAUCAUGUAGCAUGUACAUGGUUAACAAAGCUGUAAUUUUCUUAAUUUUCUUAAAUGUUAUGCUCGUAUUUGAGCCAUUCUUCCCAAACAGGUCAAGAUCAGUAAAAUCACAGAUUCCAGAAAAAUGGAAUAUCAUAGUCGCUAUGCCUUGCAUUAAGCGCAGAGAAAACCCAGAGCUAAUCGGAUCCUAAUAAAAACACUUCAAAACCACAGAUUCAAGUAUGCGAAAAAUAGAGCAACAAAACAAAAACUUAAUAUCCAAUCCUUAGAUGCACUCGAGAUAAGAAAAUAACACCUAACACUUGCAAGUCAAAACCAUAUCAUAUCCUGUUCUAUCUGGUUGCUUAUUAACUCAACGAAGUCCAAAAGGUUGAUGAGAUUCAAACUAAAUAAUUUUAACUACAAUUGCAUCAAAGCGUGUUUCCAAGUCCAAAAGAUCAACGAGACUUGAGAUAGAAACAUGCUUCAACCUCCGAUCAAUAAAUCCAUUUCUGCUUAACCCAACCACGCCCUAUCGGUAGAUCCAAUUCUAACAAACAUGCGUAAUUAUAAUUAUAAUUGCGUCAUGCAACAUGCAAAUUAAACACGGAACUUCCAAUCUAUGGAUCCAAUUCAAUUUUAACUGCAAGUAAUUGAAUGUUUAGAAAAUAAAGCAAUUCAACCAAAAUAAACACGGAACUUUCGACCUAUGGAUCCAAUUCAAUUAUAAAUGCAAAUAAUUGAAUGUUUUGGAAACACAGCAAUCCAACCAACGCAGAGAAACAACAGAUAUUAAGCUAACACAACAAAGAGCAUAAUCAUAAAAGACAAAAUCAUGGUGAUGACCGUAAAGGUUACCGAUGUAAAAGAAACAUACCUAUAGACUCAUCGAUUGAACGGCCGGAGGUUAGAGGUGUUUUAUCAAGGCCUUUUUUGCCGCCUUGCCGCUUCUUUUGAUCUUUAUUUUCCCUCCCAAUUAGGAUGGUUUAAGCAACCUAUGAGCCUUCCUGUUUUUGAAAUACGCGCCACACAUGCGGAGCGUCGGGUCAUAUCUGACGGCCACUAAGGUAUGCAGAUCAAUUUAGCAUUAAAGCCUGCAAAAUAUUAGAAAGGAAAACUUUUCAAAAAAAGUUAAAUCAAUAAAAAGAUUUG